AUUUAAGUAGUUUAAAAAAAAUUUUAAUUUGUGGAGUUAAAGAUGUUGAUAAACCUUAAGUA
Molecule: transfer RNA, 62 nt
Filed under: Curculionoidea sp. 5 KM-2017
Lineage: Eukaryota; Metazoa; Arthropoda; Insecta; Coleoptera
Also listed under: 1 other name
Description: tRNA-His
Source: RNAcentral